This 434-nucleotide ribosomal RNA is filed under the name uncultured bacterium. RNAcentral describes it as "partial 16S ribosomal RNA". It matches the Rfam family "Bacterial small subunit ribosomal RNA", at positions 29 to 507 of the family's 1533-position model. The record is from RNAcentral.
AGCGAACGCUGGCGGCAGGCCUAACACAUGCAAGUCGAACGAACCUUUCGGGGUUAGUGGCGGACGGGUGAGUAACACGUGGGAACGUGCCCUUAGGUUCGGAAUAACUCAGGGAAACUUGUGCUAAUACCGAAUGUGCCCUUCGGGGGAAAGAUUUAUCGCCGUUAGAGCGGCCCGCGUCUGAUUAGCUAGUUGGUUGAGGUAAUGGCUCACCAAGGCGACGAUCAGUAGCUGGUCUGAGAGGAUGAUCAGCCACAUUGGGACUGAGACACGGCCCAAACUCCUACGGGAGGCAGCAGUGGGGAAUCUUGCGCAAUGGGCGAAAGCCUGACGCAGCCAUGCCGCGUGAAUGAUGAAGGUCUUAGGAUUGUAAAAUUCUUUCACCGGGGAAGAUAAUGACGGUACCCGGAGAAGAAGCCCCGGCUAACUUCGUG